AAAGGACCUAAGACAAAAGUUACUAGAAUUGCAGGAGGCUUGUCUUCUGGUGGCUCUGGGCUCGGAAAACUUUCUUCUGGGACCUGCUUCUCCAGAGGGUUCUAAAUUGGCCUUUCUAGCACCAGCAAGAAGAAGAGGGUGGCUGAAGUCCCCAGGGAAAGCCAGAAGACAGAUACUGCAAAGGGUCUGUUCCCUCCCUGGGGAAGCCUGGUCUUGCUCAGUGUCUGCAGCCACCAAUAGCAGUCGAGAGAGAUGGACGAUUGUGGAUGAACCCACUGAGGUAACAGUUAUUUACUGAGCACCUACUAUGUGCCAGGCAACCCGGCCUGGCAGACAAGAUCCUUGCCCCGUGCAACUCACGUUCUUGCAGGAGAGACAGUGUACAUCAUGUAGAAUCAUGUGGUGAGUACUGUGCAGAAAAUCAAAAUAGGGUGACAGCAUUGGGACUCAAGUGACUAAAAGGAUCACUGAGCAAUGGGACAGUCAGGGAGAACCUCUCAGGAGGUAGCAUUUGAGCUGAAUUGUAACUGACAUGAAAGAAUGCAGUAUAGCAUGUCCAAAG
RNAcentral lists this long non-coding RNA (562 nucleotides) under Marmota monax (woodchuck). Lineage: Eukaryota; Metazoa; Chordata; Mammalia; Rodentia; Sciuridae. The record is from RNAcentral.